Long non-coding RNA from Gadus macrocephalus (Pacific cod), 1763 nucleotides. RefSeq lists it as uncharacterized. The record is from RefSeq and is a predicted model, not a curated record. The transcript has 3 exons. Lineage: Eukaryota; Metazoa; Chordata; Actinopteri; Gadiformes; Gadidae.
UUAGUUUUCUCACUUAGGAUGUUCUUAGAUUUUUAUCUUAAGAACGCUCGCAAGGUUUUUGAACCAACAGUUGAGAGAAAUUGAUUUGUGAAAAAUGGAGGACAUCGCCUGUAAACGAAGCUUUAACUUCUCCAAACAGGAGUUGGAGGUGAUGGUCGUUGAGAUCAUCAUCCGAUAAAGAUUAUUGUUUGGCAAGCUAGACAGUAUGAUAACGUCGGAAAACAAAAAGAGGGCGUGGGCCAAAGUUGCCCAGACUGUAUCUGCAGUGGCGGAUAUAGGAAUCGUUUGCGAUGUCAACGCUGUAAAAAGAAAAGUGGGCUGACAUCAAAUCUAUUGUAAAAAAGAAUGGAACGGAGAGGGCAAGAGAGUUGAAAAAAACCGGAGGAGGGAAGACGACAAUCCAGCUGGACCCACUGGAGGAGAAAUUGUUGGGGGCGAUUGCCGAAACGUUAGUUGAAGGAGUAGAUGGAGGAGUGGACACUGGAGAACCGGGAGAAGACGAUAGCCUGCAAGCAGGAGAUACUUUGGUCGUAAUAGCAGUCAACCAGGAUGCAGAACAAUCCCACACAAUCAAUGCAGCUGAACCAACCCAAGCCCUUACAAACCAUCAAAACCUGUUACAGAGUCCCAGGGAUGACCUGACAUUAUCCCAGCUAUUCUCGGAAACCUUUCAUACACCUGCCACAUCCAGAAGCAACACGGAGGACAUGGUCUCCCUUCAGCGUCAGCUUUUGGAGGAAGUUAAAAUGCUGAGGAUUACUCCGGAGCAACUUCUGCAGGUGGAGAGGGAAAAGCUGCUCGUCGAGAGGGAGAAGCUUCGCCUUGCCGAGGCCAAGUUUGAUUUUAAAAAAAAAGGAAUGUUGAACCUAGAAUAAAAUAGCAAUCACUCAGAGGUUUUCAUGUGUUGUUUAUUGUGGUUUUUCUUCACAUGAAUCUCCUCCUUAUGAGGUCUUGUCUCACUUGCAUGCCAGUGUUACAUGGGGCAGGGACUGGGACAUCUCCCUCGGGGUCAUCAUCUUCUGGGAUGUCAGGGAUUGGCAAGCGGUACAUAAUGCAGAUGUUGUGGAGGAUAAAAGCACAGGUAAUAAUUGUACAUGCCCUCUCAGGAGUGUACUGGAGCACUCCACCAGAACGGUCGAUACACCUAAACCUUGACUUCACUACCCCAAUGCACCUCUCCACAACACUACGUGUUUUUCGUUGUGCCCGGCUGUAGCGCUCAUCUGGCUCUGUUGCAGGGUGAAGGAUGGGUGUCAUCAACCAUGGUCUUAAGGCAUAGCCACUGUCUCCUGUCAUAGAGGACAUUAGUUAGGGCAAUACAGUAUGUUUUUGUUUUAACCUAAAGUAGAAUUCAUGUGUAGUUCUCACCUAACAACCAACCACCGGGCAUUUCUCCCUCAUUAAAUGUAAUGCCUGUUCCUGAAUUCAUAAGAACAAAGGAGUCGUGGGUGCUACCCGGCCACUUCGCAACAAGGUCUGUCACUCGGAGCGUUGCAUCACAUAUGACCCGUGUGUUUAUCGAGUGGAAAUUUUUCCUGUUCACAAAGGCCUCCUCCUCAUCAUUUGGUGCCUAUGGAAUUAAAAUUUAUGGAAUAAUUCAUACUUAAGGUAACGCUUCAAGCACCACGUAAAAUGUUUUUUGAUUCAAGCUGAUACGUUCAUAAACAGCAUAAACAGAUUUGCAAAAAAAUUCAAAUAAAUAACAUUAUCUUACUUUGAUUGCAAUAUGUGUCCCAUCAACUGCCCCCAGCACAUUUGGAAAU